UUCAUUAAAGGUGUAAGAGGGUCAGACAAAAUCGAUUAACCGACAAUCUAAAUCAAACUAAAUAAAAAAAUUGAUUUUUUUUGUUUGGUUCAAAAACCGAACCAAACCAAUUAAAAUCGAGAUGGUUUGAUUCAGUUCUCAGUUUUAGUUUUUAGGAAUCGCCAAACUAAUGAACCGAACCGAUGACUAUAAAUACAUACUUAAUCUUUUAUUUAACUCAUUAUCAAGCUCAGAUUUUAUAUGGGUCCAACACUUUUCCAUGUUAUUUACCCUUCUUUUCUUUGAAC
Molecule: long non-coding RNA, 287 nt
Filed under: Lathyrus oleraceus (garden pea)
Lineage: Eukaryota; Viridiplantae; Streptophyta; Magnoliopsida; Fabales; Fabaceae
Description: Pisum sativum (pea) long non-coding RNA (PSAT_LNC017434)
Source: RNAcentral